Molecule: unclassified non-coding RNA, 328 nt
Filed under: plant metagenome
Description: partial contains 5.8S ribosomal RNA, internal transcribed spacer 2, and large subunit ribosomal RNA
Rfam family: 5.8S ribosomal RNA (bases 1-105)
Source: RNAcentral
GAAAUGCGAUAAGUAAUGUGAAUUGCAGAAUUCAGUGAAUCAUCGAAUCUUUGAACGCACAUUGCGCCCGUCAGCAUUCUGGCGGGCAUGCCUGUUCGAGCGUCAUUUCAACCCUCAGGACCCCCCUUUCGCGGGGAGGGACCUGGCGUUGGGGAUCGGCCCGCCCCCGCGGCGGCGCCGUCCCCGAAAUCUAGUGGCGGUCUCGCUGCAGCCUCCCCUGCGUAGUAGUUACAACCUCGCAUCGGAGCGCGGCGCGGCCACGCCGUAAAACCCCCGACUUUCUGAACGUUGACCUCGGAUCAGGUAGGAAUACCCGCUGAACUUAAGC